AAUGAAUUGCCUGAUUAAAGGGUUACUUUGAUAGAGUAAAUCAUGUAAUAAUAUUACAUUCAUUA
Molecule: transfer RNA, 65 nt
Filed under: Anthomyia illocata
Lineage: Eukaryota; Metazoa; Arthropoda; Insecta; Diptera; Anthomyiidae
Description: tRNA-Ile
Source: RNAcentral